GACAGAGGGUGCAAACGUUGUUCGGAAUUACUGGGCGUAAAGCGUGUGUAGGCGGUCUGCUAAGUCGGGUGUGAAAGCCCUGGGCUCAACCCAGGAAGUGCACUCGAAACUGGCAGGCUAGAGUACUGGAGAGGUUGGUGGAAUUCUCGGUGUAGAGGUGAAAUUCGUAGAUAUCGAGAGGAACACCGGUGGCGAAGGCGGCCAACUGGACAGAUACUGACGCUGAGGCGCGAAAGCUAGGGGAGCAAACAGG
This 253-nucleotide ribosomal RNA is filed under the name uncultured bacterium. Its description in RNAcentral is "partial 16S ribosomal RNA". It matches the Rfam family "Bacterial small subunit ribosomal RNA", at positions 524 to 776 of the family's 1533-position model. The record is from RNAcentral.